Mesoplodon densirostris (Blainville's beaked whale) is the source of this 687-nucleotide long non-coding RNA. RefSeq lists it as uncharacterized. NCBI's taxonomy places the organism in Eukaryota, Metazoa, Chordata, Mammalia, Artiodactyla, Ziphiidae. The record is from RefSeq and is a predicted model, not a curated record. The transcript is spliced from 4 exons.
GUGACUCACUGCAUCAGUGAGGCUGAUGGGAUGUCUGUCUGUCUGUCUGCACUGGGUACAGAAAGCAGAGCCUGGUGGUGGCAGUGGUACCUGUCCAUCGGGCAGUGCAAACUGGAGAUGGAGGAUGUCAGGAAAGCACUAAAAUCAUUAAUGGAGACAUCUGCUCCUUGUGACUGGCUGCAAUCUUCUGCCAAGAUGUGAGCUUGACUUCGACAUGGACCACGUAAUUCUUUGUUUUGUGGGAAGCUGUCCUAGACAUCCAAGAUGUUUAGCAGCAUCCCUGGCUUCUACCCAAUAGAGGCCAAAAAUUAUCUCCAGACAUUGCCAAGUGUCCCCCAAGGCCGGGAGGAGGGGGCAAAUUCACCCUCAGUUAAGAAAUACUGCUCUAGGGCUUCCCUGGUGGCACAGUGGUUAAGAAUCUGCCCACCAAUGCAGGGGACGUAGGUUUGAGCCCUGGUCCGGGAAGAUCCCACAUGCCACGGAGCAACUAAGCCCAUGCGCCACAACUACUGAGCCUGCACUCUAGAGCCUGCAAGCCACAACUACUAAGCCCACGCACCACCACUACUGAAGCCUGCACGUCUAGAGCCCUUGCUCUGCAACAAGAGAAGCCCGCACACCACAAUGAAGAGUAGCCCCCGCUCGCCACAACUAGAGAAAUGCCACGCACAGCAACGAGGACACAAU